GUAGCAGGCUGCUUGAGCCAAAGAGCACCUGCAUUGCAUGCAGGGGGUCAGGAGUUCGAGUCUCCUUGGCUCCA
This 74-nucleotide transfer RNA is filed under the name Synechococcus sp. AH-736-M02. Its description in RNAcentral is "tRNA-Ala". The stretch from base 14 to 74 matches the Rfam family "tRNA". Rfam says of the family: Transfer RNA (tRNA) molecules are approximately 80 nucleotides in length. Their secondary structure includes four short double-helical elements and three loops (D, anti-codon, and T loops). Lineage: Bacteria; Bacillati; Cyanobacteriota; Cyanophyceae; Synechococcales; Synechococcaceae. The record is from RNAcentral.